GAUGAACGCUGGCGGCGUGCCUAAUACAUGCAAGUCGAGCGAACAGACGAGGAGCUUGCUCCUCUGACGUUAGCGGCGGACGGGUGAGUAACACGUGGAUAACCUACCUAUAAGACUGGGAUAACUUCGGGAAACCGGAGCCAAUACCGGAUAAUAUAUUGAACCGCAUGGUUCAAUAGUGAAAGACGGGUUUGCUGUCACUUAUAGAUGGAUCCGCGCCGCAUUAGCUAGUUGGUAAGGUAACGGCUUACCAAGGCAACGAUGCGUAGCCGACCUGAGAGGGUGAUCGGCCACACUGGAACUGAGACACGGUCCAGACUCCUACGGGAGGCAGCAGUAGGGAAUCUUCCGCAAUGGGCGAAAGCUUGACGGAGCAACGCCGCGUGAGUGAUGAAGGUCUUCGGAUCGUAAAACUCUGUUAUUAGGGAAGAACAAAUGUGUAAGUAACUAUGCACGUCUUGACGGUACCUAAUCAGAAAGCCACGGCUAACUACGUG
RNAcentral lists this ribosomal RNA (497 nucleotides) under uncultured bacterium. RNAcentral's name for it is "partial 16S ribosomal RNA". It matches the Rfam family "Bacterial small subunit ribosomal RNA", at positions 28 to 507 of the family's 1533-position model. The record is from RNAcentral.